Molecule: long non-coding RNA, 2945 nt
Organism: Astatotilapia calliptera (eastern happy)
Lineage: Eukaryota; Metazoa; Chordata; Actinopteri; Cichliformes; Cichlidae
Source: Ensembl
GAGUGAAAGAGGUGUUCCUAAUAAACUGGCUCCUCCCUCACAGCUGUUUGCAGACUAAGAAGUGAGCUCUGGGUGUUUUGUAAAUACAGAGUCUAAGCCCGUCUUACUCAGUCCUCCUCUAUCGUGCAGACACUGAUCACAACCUCAGCAGCAGCUCAGCACUGAAAUGUGGAUCGUCUCCUGCGUCCUCAUUGGCUCUCUGGCCUUUUCUUUGCCAGACAAUCACAAUCACACCACCACACCUCCACCUACAUCUGCCUCCAUCACUCCUUCUCCAUCACUCAUUCCUGUGUUGUCAUCUAUUGGAUCAGUAUGUGCUGUGGUUUUGCUUAUGUUAGUGGUUCUGGUGGUGAAACGAUGGGUAUGUGGAAAACCCAAAGAGGAUGCAGAAGAAGUUAGAGAAAAUGUCAUCACAGAUGGCGUCAUAUACAGUGAAAUCAUAACCUCAAAUUAUCAACAGCAGCCAGCCAGACAGAGCCCAGAGAGCGAUCCAGCUGCAGUCUACUCCACAGUGAGGAGGGACGACGUCACUUAUGGACGAAUCAUCAUCAAAGACAAGAAAAAACUGUCAAAGAGGAGAGAUUUUCUGGAGCCAGAGGUCAUUUACUCCAAUCUCCAAAGUAGUCGACCAGUCCAGCCAGUGGAGUCCAGCUGCUCUUCUCGUGUUGUCCUGUGGGUUUCAUGAAGAUGACUGAUGGAAAAUUUGAAUGGACUGAUAAAACAUCUGUCUUCAGUUCAGAUAGGAAACAAACAAAUUAACUGCAACCACAGACUAUAAACAGCAUGAGCAUCGCUGCAUUGUGUGAGUUACAAGCAGCAACUCAUAUGACAGUUUUCAGAAACCCAAUGAACUGUUUCAUUAUUAAAUUAAAAGCAUUCUGUGCUUUCAAACUCAAAAUCGUGAAAUUUGGUUUGAUGAAAAAGAAAACAUUUCAUCAUGUUUAGUCAGUUUAAUUGAAUUAAUUGUUUGAUUGAAAUAAUUCAACUCAGUCAAUUCAGUUCCAUUUGUAUGGCAAAUAAAAAGAUCACAGCAACAGUCGCCCCAAGGUGCUCAAACUGGACAGCUCCCCUGAUCCAGUCCAAAAAAUUAUAGAACCACAGUUAAUCAUGCUUCCAUCAGAUAGCAUGUAUUUUAAAUGUGAAACACAGAGACAACGAACACAAAGAAGAACAUAGACAUGACGUUAGUUUUGUGGUUUAUAAAGGCCUUCAGAGUCUGCUGCCAUCUACUGCUAAUACUGGGUAUUAGCAAAUGAAAAACUACUUAAUGUCUAUAUGUUGUGAUAUGUUUAUAGUUAGUUAUUCAGAGUGAAAAUGUUUUUAUUGUUGAUGAAGGAUUACCAGACUGAAAAUACAUCAUAUAAACACACAUUUUUCUGUAUCUCUCCCACAUGUGAUGAAUACCUGUUACUGCAGCGAUCCCCAACCUUUUUUGCGCCACGGACCGGUUUAUGCCCGACAAUAUUUUCACGGACCGGCCUUUAAUGUGUCGCGGAUAAAUACAACAAAAUAAAACUAGUACCGGUACCGAAAAAAAGAAGAUUUAUUCAUAACACACGUGAAAAGACCCAGGAAAACAGAGUUAACGAUCAAAACAGUAACAAAAUAAGGCUGAAAACUGAUAAAAACCUUGAAAACCAUACAUUUCACACCUGAGACUCUACUCUCGCGGCCCGGUACCAAACGACUCACGGACCGGUACCGGUCCGAGGCCCGCGAGUUGGGGACCACUGUGUUACUGGAUGAAUCUGAACAUUCUUUGUUUAAAUGUGACUCUUUGUUGGGGCAAAAUAAACAAAAGGAACUGAACUGUUAUCAAAUGUUGUUCCACAUUUUGCUUUAAGAUAAGUUUCUGGAUGACAUCCUACUGCCUGCUGAGGGUAAGUAUACAUGUAGGUGGGUUGGACAUUCUUUCUUUUAUUCCCAGUUCUAGGAAUGUUUGAAAUCUGGGAAUGAAAACUAAAAUAACUGGAACAGCAGCAGGAGACUGAGCUGGAGGCUGCUGUGAAUCCUAAAUCUGUUGUUUUUUAUGUUUUAUUUUUGUUUGACGAACAGCAAGGAGGCCACUAUCAAUCCAGCAGAUCCCUUUAACUCCUCUCCAAUAUUAACCUGUUUUAAUAGGCAGUGUUGGGGAUUAAAGGAAUACAUGUACCAGCGUUAUGUAUUUAAAACACAAAAUAUGAGUAACUGUAUUCCGUUCCAUUACCAUUUAAAUAGGUGAUAUUCAGAAUACAGUUACUUUGUUGAACUAAAUAGAAUACACGGUGGUCACUUCCUGUUCCAUAUGUUAGGCUAUCCCCUCUCUAUGCCUUCCAAUUUUUGUUUUUUGGGGUUUUUUUUGUUUUUUUUCCCUUCCCGUUUGGAAAGAUGCCCAACGGAUUUACUUUACUUUAACCCAGGAGAUGUUACCCUUUCCCCUGAGGUGGAGACAAGCAGAUCGCCCCCGGCUCAGUAGUAGCAGAGAGGCUCGCAUCCCAGAACCCAACCGGACGGCCAACACCUCCGCCCAGCCCUGAUGGCUAACAGAGAACGGGGGGGUGUGAAGACCCCAAACCUCCCUCCACCUGCUCGUAUGUAGUGUUGCUGCGUGCUGUUCUAAAUUUAAAACACGGGAGAGCAGCAGGUGUCAGCACAGCCCCUCCUGGAAACCCUCAAUGUCUACAUGGAUUUAAAAUUGAGAAAUGGGCACCAGCGCCAGAGGUGAUUUUCAAUACACAGACUGUCCUCUGGACGCCAUGUAAUGUGCCCAUCCAAAAGGCCCUAUAUGUAUGUGUUAUGAGAGUGUGAGUAAUGUGGAUGUCUAAGUUGUGGAAUAAAAUUGAGGCACAGGUGGCCAGAAGGGGACAGAGGGAGGACGCCUCCCCUGCACCCUGGUGACACACCUGCACCCCAAGGCCCUGCAUGUGUGGGUGGGUGUGGUGGCGCGGGAAGAGGGAGUCAGUUCU